UCAAAAACAUGUCUUAUUGAAAAUAAUUUUAGGUUUGACCUGCCCUCUGAAUUUUUGAAUGGCCGCGGUAUUUUGACCGUGCUAAGGUAGCAUAAUCAUUAGUUUCUUAAUUAGAAGCUGGUAUGAAUGGUUUUAUGAGAAAGUGACUGUCUCUGUUUAAAUAUAUUUGAAUUUUAUUUUUUAGUAAAAAAGCUUAAAUAAUUUUAAAAGACGAGAAGACCCUAUAGAGUUUUAUAAUAAAUUAUUAUUAUUAUUUUUUAGAAUUUUAAAUUUUUAAAUUAUUUUAUUAUUUAAUUGGGGUGAUUAAAAAAUAAAAUAAACUUUUUUUUAUAUUUUACAUAAAUUUGUGAAAUAUUGAUCCAUUAAUAAUGAUUAAAAGUUAAAAUUACCUUAGGGAUAACAGCGUAAUUUUUUCAAAGAGUUCUUAUCGAAGAAAAAGAUUGCGACCUCGAUGUUGGAUUAAAAAUAAUUUUUGGUGUAGAAGCUAAGUAAGUUAGGUCUGUUCGACCUUUAAAAUUUUACAUGAUCUGA
This 531-nucleotide ribosomal RNA is filed under the name Bruchidius malindiensis. RNAcentral describes it as "partial 16S ribosomal RNA". It matches the Rfam family "Bacterial large subunit ribosomal RNA", at positions 1807 to 2608 of the family's 2925-position model. Lineage: Eukaryota; Metazoa; Arthropoda; Insecta; Coleoptera; Chrysomelidae. The record is from RNAcentral.